CAUGGUAGUGGAAGAAAUGGA
RNAcentral lists this microRNA (21 nucleotides) under Glycine max (soybean). RNAcentral's name for it is "gma-miR5672". The record is from miRBase by way of RNAcentral. Lineage: Eukaryota; Viridiplantae; Streptophyta; Magnoliopsida; Fabales; Fabaceae.